UACAGAAGGUGCGAGCGUUAAUCGGAAUUACUGGGCGUAAAGCGUGCGUAGACGGCUAUCUAAGUCGGGUGUGAAAGCCCCGGGCUCAACCUGGGAAUUGCAUUCGAGACUGAAUAGCUAGGGUACGGUAGAGGGAAGCGGAAUUUCCGGUGUAGCGGUGAAAUGCGUAGAUAUCGGAAGGAACACCAGUGGCGAAAGCGGCUUCCUGGACCAGUACCGACGUUCAGGCACGAAAGCGUGGGGAGCAAACAGG
RNAcentral lists this ribosomal RNA (253 nucleotides) under uncultured bacterium. Its description in RNAcentral is "partial 16S ribosomal RNA". It matches the Rfam family "Bacterial small subunit ribosomal RNA", at positions 524 to 776 of the family's 1533-position model. The record is from RNAcentral.